CCUACGGGUGGCAGCAGUCGAGAAUCAUUCACAAUGGGGGAAACCCUGAUGGUGCGACGCCGCGUGGGGGAAUGAAGGUCUUCGGGUUGUAAACCCCUGUCAUGUGGGAGCAAAUUAAAAAGAUAGUAACACAAGAGGAAGAGACGGCUAACUCUGUGCCAGCACCCGCGGUAGUACAGAGGUCUCAAGCGUGGUUCGGAAUCACUGGGCGUAAAGCGUGCGUAGGCUGUUUCGUAAAUCGUGUGUGAAAGGCGGGGGCUCAACCCGCGGACGGCACAUGUUACUGCGAGACUAGAGUAAUGGAGGGGGAACCGGAAUGCUCGGUGUAGCAGUGAAAUGCUUAGAUAUCGAGAGGAACACUCGGGGCGAAGGCGGGUUCCUGGACAUUAACUGACGCUGAGGCACGAAGGCCAGGGGAGCGAAAGGGAUUAGAUACCCGGGUAGUC
Molecule: ribosomal RNA, 446 nt
Filed under: uncultured bacterium
Lineage: Bacteria
Description: partial 16S ribosomal RNA
Rfam family: Bacterial small subunit ribosomal RNA
Source: RNAcentral